AACUCUCAACAACGGAUAUCUUGGCUCCCGUAUCGAUGAAGAACGCAGCGAAAUGCGAUACGUAGUGUGAAUUGCAGAAUUUCGUGAACCAUCGAAUCUUUGAACGCAGCUUGCGCCCGAACCUUUUGGCCAGGGCAUGUCUGCCUCAGCGU
This 152-nucleotide ribosomal RNA is filed under the name Prototheca miyajii. Its description in RNAcentral is "5.8S ribosomal RNA". It matches the Rfam family "5.8S ribosomal RNA". From Rfam's summary of the family: 5.8S ribosomal RNA (5.8S rRNA) is a component of the large subunit of the eukaryotic ribosome. It is transcribed by RNA polymerase I as part of the 45S precursor that also contains 18S and 28S rRNA. Functionally, it is thought that 5.8S rRNA may be involved in ribosome translocation. The record is from RNAcentral. Lineage: Eukaryota; Viridiplantae; Chlorophyta; Trebouxiophyceae; Chlorellales; Chlorellaceae.